CCACCCAUCCCACCUUCCAAGGACUCCCCCAUUCUGAAGGUGUUAGCUCCAGACUAGCAGCCCCAAGAAGACUCUACUUCUUCAGCCUCCAGGGAGUUCUUCUGGUACUUGGUGGCAAUGAAAGUCAGCGAUUACAAUUGCAAGAUUUCUUCAGGAUAUCAGUUGUAACAAUAUUGUACUGAGUAAGGCUCCAGCUAGAGUCCUGUGGCGAGUCAAUAGAGACCUCCAUCGAAGUUGAAAUGGAUCCAUUACCAAGACUUUUAGGCAGUGAUUGUUCAACCAGCUGCAAAUCAGUCUAAUUUACCCCACAUCUACCCUACGCCUCUACAGGCCAGUGUAAAAGAUUUUUGCCUAACGUCAUACUGAAAUUCACACGUGUUGCCUUGACCUUCCAGCGCAACCACAUUGUCAAAGAAAUGGAGGUCUGCUCACACCUCACAGUUCACAUUUUCUUUGGCCCCUCUCUGUUACCAACGCUGGACUUUUCCUGCUGGCCUGAGGCUCCUCUUACAUCAGACACCGGCCACCCCUAGAACUUGCUUCCUCAUUUUUUGCUGUAACUGACUGUACGACACAGUGUUGGCUCCCUAAACGCAUUGGACAUACACCUGAAUGGCUGCGCGUCAGUGGCGGUGCUUUGAGUCCUGUUUCAGGUAUGCGGUGAACUGCUCGCUUGCUCACUCAGUGAAGUUACUGAUCGCUCCCUCCAAAAGUCCAGUUCUGCCAAGACGUAAAACCCUUUUGUAACACAAGUAUAAUACUUUCGAAUGUAGAUUUUGUUUACCUGUACUGAAUUUUCUCAAAAUGAACCAUACCUUUAAACACGAUAAUGACAGGCUAGGGCUGCUGUAACUUGAAUCAUCAGUGAAUACAAUACCUGGCACAUGGUGUGCUCCUGCCGGGAAAUUCUUUAACCUCAACUCUUCAGACUUAGGAAAAUAAGUAGUAUUUUCUUUAAAUUGGUAGUUUAUGUGAGGAUAAACAAAAGCAGUUUCCAUCUGGUUUGACGUUGACCCGGGAUUAUUUUCAAGUCAUCCUUGUUCCUCCUUUGCAAACGAAAUCACAGUCUCCAGGAGGAUGCAGCCAGUUAGUCUCGCCCGUCGCUGUCUUCAGAGUCAGCACGGUACCUGGACUCUGUAGAACACGUGCUCAGUGAACAUUUCUUGAACAGAUAAAUGAGGAAUAAAUGAAUACAUGUGUACAAAAAGCUUACUUCAUCUAGUCAUAAAAUGAUUUCAGUUUGCCAUGGGAUCAAAUGUAGACAUGACCAAUGCCUUCUAGAAAGAAACCUUUGGGGCAAAAAUCACCAUCUGAGUUGCACAAAUAAUAGUAAUAUUUUUGAUCAACAGUUCUCAAAUGUUUUGUUCUCAGGACUCCUUUAUACUCUAAAAAAUUGUUGAGAACCCCAAAGAGUUUUUGCUUAUAUAGGACAUAUCCAUUGAUACUUGCAAUAUUAGAAAUUAAAACCAAAAUUAAAUGUUAAUUUGAAAUAAUAGCAAUACUCAUAAUAUACCAACAUAAUGUUUUGUGAAAAUGUAUUUUCCAAAAUAAAAAUAAAUUAUGAGUGACAUUAUUUAAAAUAUUUGAAAAUCUCUUGACUGUCUGGCUUAGUAGAAGAUAGCUGGAUUCUCGUCUCUGCUUCUGCCUUCAAUCUAUGGUAAUAUUACCUGUCAUGUGGCCUCUAGAAAACUCCACAGUAUACUCAAGAGAAUGGGAUUUUCAUUAAAAUAGUUGUGAUCUGUGGACCCCCUGAAAGGGCUUGGAGAACCCCAGGAGUCCCUGGACUAUAAUUUGAGAACCUCUGUUCUAAAUGUUUACACUUUUAAAAUAAUAAAGCUAUUCAAUUCAUAACAGUUUCUUCUUUGCCUAGAAUAUCAGAACCUUCAGGGCGAAGGUCAUCCAUCAGCUCAGGUGGGGAAUGACAGCCUGUCCAUCACCUGUCACGCUGCUCAGCUGCUGCCUGAUUGCUACUGGGCUUUUCCUUCCUUUUUAGUGUUAAUGGUUUUUGGCCGUACUUCUUCUGCGUUUUCAUUAGAAGAUGCUGCCAGUCCUUUCUGGAAAGAGGUUAAGUGUUUAAAAGUAUAGGAAUAUCUGUCUAUCCAUCUAUCUAUCUAUCUACACACACAUAAAAAGCAACACAUACAAGUUUGAAAGUACACUUUCAUUUCAUUUUCAGUAUCUAUCUAGCUAACGCACCUCAACAGGAUGAAAAUAUAUAAUAUAGUCACUUGAAAGGUUAAGAAAAUCCUCAGGUUGUCUGAAUGGGCCUUCUUCACAGAGCCCAGAGAAUGGGGUUCAAGUGCAGGGCCUGCUCUCUAAACAGCUACAGCUCCAUGACAGGCAAUUUAUCACUCAAGAAAUGAGGCAAAUCAUCAAGGUCUCAGAGUGUCUGAACUGUUCCUCAGAACUCCCACCCGGACCAUCCACUUUUUCUCUGUCAAUAACUAAUUUGACUGAAGCCUAUGAGAGUCGCACUUUUUCAGUGCCAGCCCACUGCAUGUCAUUUUUCUGUCUGGGAGAACUGCCCUUCAGUCAUCCAGGCGGGUGAGCGCCCCGCCUUGCCUGUCUCAGGGCACCCUGUUUGGGGCCACCCUUGACCGGAUCAGGUUGUGCACCUGACCCAGGCUGAGCCAACCGCAUUCUCUCUCGUGGGAAUGUGGCCUCGGAUUGAGCACAGCCAGCUACCCGGGACCGACCUCUUCAGUAGGGAGGGUGUAAACCCGGCAGUUGUGAGGGAUCCUCUUCCACUCAGCUGCCCAGAGAGAAGAAGGAAGGAGAGUUGAUUGCAGAGAGACGUGGAGCAGAGGCGAAGGCUGGAGAAGGCCUGCUUCCUGGCUUCCUCGUAGCCAUCUGUCCUUGGGCUUCAUGAGAUACUGCCUCACCACAUAUUUCCCUUAAUAAUUAAGCCAGCUCAAGUUGAUUCCUUGCAACCAAAAGCUCUCAACUAAAGCAAAGGCAAAGCCAGAAGCAUUGGUGAGUUUUUCGCUACAGCCGGGUCCUGUAAAAGAUCCUGGAGAGGAUUGAUUGUAGGUCCUAAAUACGCAUCAUCGACUCACUGAAGGCUUCCAUCCGGCCAAAACACGUUUCCAUCCAAGGCCAACUAGAUUAGGAAAUGGCGUUUCCUCCUGCUUUCCAUCCCUGGAGGGCAAAUGUACAGAUGACUGGAGUUAGCAAUUGACUCUGUGGGUUAGUAUUUGCUGAGGGCACACGCCCAGGGACUUGAAUGACAGCAAUCCCCAGGUGCCAGGGAGGAGGCUGGCAAUUACGCUUCCCAUCACUGGCCUAUUCACCACUCCUGCAAACCAGCAUUCCUCAGAGCACUGACCCUCAAUGACUGGCAGGGCGACCGACUUUUAAAAGUGCCCAUUUUUAGCAGCUGGAAAUAAUAAACAGAGGGAAGUGAAGAUGCUGGAGGACUGAUUUCUCUUCCACUGUUUUCAAAAGUCAAAAGAUGCUAUAGACUAGUGGACUGGCAAGGAUGCCACGGAAAGCUGGUGCAACUCCUGCCGCAGAGCAGCUGUGUGAUGAUGGGUUAGUCCAUACACCUCCCUGGGCCUCAGUUUUUACAGCUGCAGAAUGACGAGGUAGAACUAGAAGGUCUUUAAUAUCCUUUUCAUCUCCAACUUUCUACAAUCUUUGUGAGCUGGAAAGAUUUACAUAGAACUUCAUCUUGAUUUUAUUACUUGUAGUUCAUCUUCUUGUGACAGAGCCGGCGGCAGCCUGUGCGUGCGGAAGUUGUGGAGUCAGACAGAUGAAGGAUGGAAUCCUGGGUCUGCCCCUAAGAGCUGUGCGAGCACGGCCAAGGCACUUUGCCCAUCCAUGCCUCGGUGUCCACAUGUGUAAAAUGGGACUAAGACCCACGCGAUUGUUGAAAGAAUUAAACGCAACAAAUUUGACAAACUUCUUAGCACAAUGCCUGACAUGUUAGCUGUUAUUUUUUGCAUCCUAUAUUUUGUGUGCCUGCUCUUUGCCGGGCCUGUCGCCUGGGAGAGCAGACACUGUGCUCUCUGCACAG
Molecule: long non-coding RNA, 4015 nt
Organism: Equus caballus (horse)
Lineage: Eukaryota; Metazoa; Chordata; Mammalia; Perissodactyla; Equidae
Source: Ensembl